This is a long non-coding RNA of Canis lupus familiaris (dog), 3478 nucleotides long. RefSeq lists it as uncharacterized. NCBI's taxonomy places the organism in Eukaryota, Metazoa, Chordata, Mammalia, Carnivora, Canidae. The record is from RefSeq and is a predicted model, not a curated record. The transcript has 3 exons.
AAUAAAUAAAAAAUUAAAAAAAAUAAAAAAAAUAAAGAGGCCAGUAAGUUAAAAAGAAGCUGUUAGGGUGGGGCGCUGAUGCAGUAUACUGGUGUCCUAAGUGGGGCGGCAGGGCGGGGUGUGUGGCUGGGUAGCUCAGUUAGGCAUACAAUUCUUGGUUUAGGCUCCACUCAGGUCAUGAUCUGGGAGUUAUGGGAUAGACCCCUCCCCUCCGGCAACAGCUCCGUUAUCACUGGGGAGUCUGUGUGUGCAGUCUCACAUAAAUAAAAAUAUAAAAUCUUUAUUUUUUAAAAAUAUUUUAUUGAUUUAUUCAUGAGAGACACAGAGAGAAAAAGGAGAGAGAAAGGGAGAUGCCACAUAAAGAGACAGCAAGAGGACAGCCAUCUGCAAGCCAAGGGGAAGGGACUUGAGAGAAACCAACCCUGUCAGUACUUUGAUCUUGGAUUUCUAGCCUCCAGAACUGUGAGAAAAUAAACUUCUGUUGUUUAAGCCACCCAGUCUGUGGUAUUUUGUUAAGGCAGCCCUCGCAAAUUAAUAUAGGCCAGCUCUCCCCUUUUACUCCAAAAAGCAGGAGAGAGAAAUCAAUUUAUACACAUGCACUCUCUUUAAGGCAACAGACCUGGUUAGCCUGAAUGUGGUUCAUGUCACCAGAAAACCAAAGGGAGUUCUGGACCUACCUGCACCUCCUGGCAUUCUCACUCCUACACAUUUUCAGAAGGCUGCUGGGCUCAGAACUUGACUCUAUCCUACUGUCGGCAUUCCAGAAAAUCAAGGGUGUUCAAAUGGGGGUACUAGGAAGGGCAGGCAAGGGCGGGCUCCCCUGAAAGGUGCUCCCAAAGCCUGGCUGUUUGAGGAGUGAAGAGGAGGCAGGCAAGAUAGCAGUCAGCAAGGGGAAGCAUGACACAAAGUGGAAGGUAUUGCUUGCGGGUGUGGCAUCAUGGCCACCUGUACAGUUUGCUUUGUGGAACUGAACGUAGGGCCUUGAACACAGGGUGCAGGAUCUGUGACUCCGUGUUUUCAGGAAGGUGUCCCAGUUCUUAACCUAAGAGUUAAUUCACAGGCUUGUGAUUCUGGUCUGCUUCUAUACCCAGCCUUGGCUUGUGUACUUGGCCACAGAGUAGGAUGGGUGGUUAAGUUCCCUCAAAAGACCAUCCUUUGAGGCUCAGUCCUGGUGGAAGACUGCCUGAAAAUAGCUGAAAGUAGCCCUAUAACUCCUCCCCUUCUUUCCCUACAGGAGGCUUCUCUCAUUCCAAGGCAGUCAUUUCCCCUCUCUUGGAAUCUGAGAUAGCCCUGUGGCUUGCUCUGACUGAUAAAAUACUGUGUGUGUGAUGUUAUGUGACUUCUGAGCCUGGGUCUUAAGACAUGAAAACUGUCAUGUCAAUGACUCAGGUUAGACUGCUGAAUGGCCUGGGACCAAGGCGACAGAGAACGCCCAGCCUUCUAGGUGUCCCCAGAAAUGCCCCUGCAAUGUGGGAAAGUCCAGAUUGGACUUUCAAGCCCAAGACAAUCUAGCUGCCAACUGUAUGCAACCAGGUGAGUGACCUCAGGAAGACCAUCAAAGAAUGCCCAGCCAGCCCAAAGAAUGGAGAGAAAUAAUAAAUUGUUGUUGCUGAAGUUACUAAGUUUUGUGAAACUCUGGGCUGAGUAUCUGAGCUCUCUCAGUAAACUUUUGGGGGCAAGGACACUGGCUUACAAGACAUCUUGUGCUGCUUGUAUCCUUGAUCAUCCAAAUGCCAUGAGCAGAUGUGACUUAUCCCUGCCUAGUCAGUGAUGCAGGAGGCAAACAAAUAAACAAGGAGCAUCAAUCCCAGUGUCUGAGACCCUGGCCCCACCAAUGACAUGUUCAGCAUAAAGGCCACUUCAUUCUACUUUCUGCUUAAUAACUGGGAAAAGGAGGAUUAGUAAUACUGUUAUCUGUGAUACUGGGAUAAACGAGAAAGUUCAAGGAAAGGAGUUCUGUCCCUGGGACAUUCCAAGAUAAAGAUUAUAUAUACCCUGCAACUCAAAGGGCAGAAAAGAAAAAUUUGAAUGUUAUCAUUAAGCCAGCUCAGACCCAGGCCUGGUGGCAAAGGAGCUAGGUUACCCUGAGAAUACUGUCAUUCUAGGAUUCUUUUCAAGGCUUCACCUCCUGAACACCCGACUCAGCACUCAAAGGCCAGGAUAGGAAGAUGAGUAACAUUGCUGGGAAAGAACUUCCCUCCUACCGCAGGGAACAAACAUGUAAACAAAUACACGUGACUCAUUUAUCAUGAAUCAUAACGGAGGAAGAACAUGCGCGGGGCUCUGAGUCCCAAAAGGGACAGGUUUUUUGUUUGUUUGAACAUGAAAAAUCUCCGUGUACAAAUGAACAUUCUUUGUUAAAAACUUUCCCCCUGGGAAGCAAUCUCUUUUCCAUACUGCUGUCCCAUUCUCACUCCUCCUCUGUAUGGAUAUCAAAUAAAGACCCAUACAAGAAAAUGCCUCACUGCUUUAUACCAACAGAAAGACACGGCCCUGCCAGCAGCCUCUGAAGAUGUUGGAAGACAACAAGAAGAACAAAAUGGAAGUCUUGGAAGGCAAUUACAAUCUCAUGGCUACGUGUGCGUUGUUAGCACAGAAGGCCUAGUGGCUGACAACUUGGAUCAAGUGUGUCUGCUUCUUCCUAAGCAGCAAGCCAAGCCCCUAGGGUAGGACUGUUUUCUGGUUCUGGAUGCAGUGAAAGCCUUAGAACCAGGCAGGCUGAUGGGCAUCAGAGGGACUUAGGGGUGCUCUAUACCAGGGUCCCCUGGUCAAAGUCUUUAGUGAAGGACACAAUGUGAAAUGUUCCAAAUGCUUUAAAGAUUAUGUUGGCUAAUUGAAUUUAUUUAUUUAUUUAUUUAUUUUCUAAUUGAAUUUAAGUAAAAAAAAAAAAAAAAAAGCUUUAAAAGAAAGCUUAGAUCAGUGUGAGAAGAGGGCCCAUUAUAUUUCCCUCAUUGCCUUAAUGUCCAAGUUCUUUUAAUGAGACCCUAGUCCUUAAUAGGAUCCUUAAUAAUGAGACCCUAGUCUUAUUAGAGUUACUAUAGACCCUGGGCAAUCAGGAGACAUAAUCUUCCCCUGGAUGACUGAGGCCUCAGGACACUGGCUGUGCUCUAGCUUCAGUGCCCAGUCUGCCUCCUCCUCUUCCCAGCACUAUCUGUUCUAUAGCCAAAGACUUGGGAGCUGCUCCAAGGUAAGCUUCCUGGGCACAGACUUUGUUUGUCUAAACCAGGGUGCCAUGAACACCUGUACCUCUGAUUAACCUUAUCCAGGUACAGGGUUUAGGUAUAAUUACCAGCCAAGCAACCCUGGAGGCUUUGGGGUCAAACAUCCAACAUGGAAUGGGGGAUAUGGAGGUUGAUGGGAGUGGAAGGUUUCUGACCCAUUGAAAGAUUCUGCUGGACUUGGUGGGAUGAGCGCUGGGUGUUAUGCUAUAUGUUGGCAAAUUGAACUCCAAUAAAACAAAACAAAACAAAAACAAAAA